Molecule: ribosomal RNA, 590 nt
Filed under: uncultured bacterium
Lineage: Bacteria
Description: bacterial SSU rRNA
Rfam family: Bacterial small subunit ribosomal RNA
Source: RNAcentral
GACGAACGCUGGCGGCGUGCCUAAUACAUGCAAGUCGAGCGGAUCUUGUCCUUCGGGAUAAGAUUAGCGGCGGACGGGUGAGUAACACGUGGGUAACCUGCCUGUAAGACUGGGAUAACAUUCGGAAACGAAUGCUAAUACCGGAUACGCGGUUUGGUCGCAUGACCGAACCGGGAAAGAUGGAGCAAUCUAUCACUUACAGAUGGUCCCGCGGCGCAUUAGCUAGUUGGUGAGGUAACGGCUCACCAAGGCGACGAUGCGUAGCCGACCUGAGAGGGUGAUCGGCCACACUGGGGACUGAGACACGGGCCCAGACUCCUACGGGAGGCAGCAGUAGGGAAUCUUCCGCAAUGGACGAAAGUCUGACGGAGCAACGCCGCGUGAGUGAUGAAGGUUUUCGGAUCGUAAAGCUCUGUUGCCAGGGAAGAAUGCUUGGGAGAGUAACUGCUCCCAAGGUGACGGUACCUGAGAAGAAAGCCCCGGCUAACUACGUGCAGCAGCCGCGGUAAUACGUAGGGGGCAACGUUGUCCGGAAUCAUUGGGGCGUAAAAGCGCGCGCAGGCGGCCUUGUAAGUCUGUUGUUUAAAACU